GACGAACGCUGGCGGCGUGCUUAACACAUGCAAGUCGAACGGAAAGGCCCUGCUUUUGUGGGGUGCUCGAGUGGCGAACGGGUGAGUAACACGUGAGUAACCUGCCCUUGACUUUGGGAUAACUUCAGGAAACUGGGGCUAAUACCGGAUAGGAGCUCCUGCUGCAUGGUGGGGGUUGGAAAGUUUCGGCGGUUGGGGAUGGACUCGCGGCUUAUCAGCUUGUUGGUGGGGUAGUGGCUUACCAAGGCUUUGACGGGUAGCCGGCCUGAGAGGGUGACCGGCCAAAUUGGGACUGAGAUACGGCCCAUACUCCUACGGGAGGCAGCAGUGGGGAAUAUUGCACAAUGGGCGGAAGCCUGAUGCAGCAACGCCGCGUGCGGGAUGACGGCCGUCGGGUUGUAAACCGCUUUCGCCUGUGACGAAGCGUGAGUGACGGUAAUGGGUAAAGAAGCACCGGCUAACUACGUG
This 468-nucleotide ribosomal RNA is filed under the name uncultured bacterium. RNAcentral's name for it is "partial 16S ribosomal RNA". It matches the Rfam family "Bacterial small subunit ribosomal RNA", at positions 28 to 507 of the family's 1533-position model. The record is from RNAcentral.